This is a long non-coding RNA of Nyctereutes procyonoides (raccoon dog), 641 nucleotides long. RefSeq lists it as uncharacterized. Lineage: Eukaryota; Metazoa; Chordata; Mammalia; Carnivora; Canidae. The record is from RefSeq and is a predicted model, not a curated record. The transcript has 4 exons.
CCCCGAGACGCCGCCGGGCCCCUCCCGCAGCCCGUGCCCCUCCGCACCCGUGCGUGGAGGUGUCGGGCUCCGGCUGCGGGCGGCGGGAGAUUUAAACCCGGCGGCCUGGCGCGCGCGGCGUCUCGGCCCGGCGUCCGCGUUCUCGCCCUCUCGGGCCCUCGGUCGGUUUGGGGAUCGACUCCGGGACCCAUUCCGGUCCUCCUUCGCCAGAUUCCGGGUUAUUAACAAACACCGCAGCGCUCAGAGCAUCGGAGUGAAGGAACUGAGCGUGAGACCUCUGAGGCGUUCCAGGUCACUCCAGAAAGUGGGCAAGUGGAGGCGGUUUAAGAAUGGUUUCAGCAAACACGGUGGAGCUACUGACGCUCCUGGGCAAGAAUCAGGCUUUCUUAAUCAGGCUUCUACAAGUGAACUAGAAGACCAUUAGAUGACUUGGGAUGUCACUUGGGAGCUUUGAGAGGCUCCACAAAUCUGGGAUCCCAGAACAAUAAACAGCAAUGAUCUUUUGCACUAUCAAGCAGACCUCUGGAUCAGGGAUCUACUGAACCUGAUAUCGUGGAAAUAGCUCCAUUUCUUCAAGGUGUUCCAGUUUCCUUUUCAUCUGUUUGACCUUAUCAAGGAAAUCAGAAGUAACAGGUCAGUGG